Molecule: ribosomal RNA, 479 nt
Filed under: uncultured bacterium
Lineage: Bacteria
Description: SSU rRNA
Rfam family: Bacterial small subunit ribosomal RNA
Source: RNAcentral
AGGACGAACGCUGGCGGCGUGCUUAACACAUGCAAGUCGAGCGAGGCUCCUCCUUCGGGAGGAUGUCCUAGCGGCGAACGGGUGAGUAACACGUGGGCAACCUGCCCCUAGCACUGGGAUAACCCCGGGAAACCGGGGCUAAUACCGGAUAUCACUUCGGAAGGCAUCUUCUGAAGUUGAAAGGGUUACUGGCUAGGGAUGGGCCCGCGGCCUAUCAGCUUGUUGGUGGGGUAACGGCCUACCAAGGCGACGACGGGUAGCCGGCCUGAGAGGGCGACCGGCCACGACUGGGACUGAGACACGGCCCAGACUCCUACGGAAGGCAGCAGUGGGGAAUAUUGCACAAUGGGCGAAAGCCUGAUGCAGCGACGCCGCGUGAGGGAUGACGGCCUUCGGGUUGUAAACCUCUUUCAGCAGGGACGAAGCGAAAGUGACGGUACCUGCAGAAGAAGCACGGCCAACUACGUGCCAGCAGCCGC